Long non-coding RNA from Alligator sinensis (Chinese alligator), 435 nucleotides. RefSeq lists it as uncharacterized. Lineage: Eukaryota; Metazoa; Chordata; Crocodylia; Alligatoridae. The record is from RefSeq and is a predicted model, not a curated record. The transcript has 3 exons.
AAGGGGAGGUUUUGCCUGAGAAAAAGUAGCCCCUGAACAAGAAGGGGGGGAAGAAAAAAAAAAAAAUCUUCAGCUAGCUGAGUCAUGAUUGCUUCUGCAAGGCCAUUCAGCCUAUGAAGUGAGCAAAAUGGUAGGUGCAGCAUGUGAGAAACAGGAGGGAUUUGAAUAGCUCUUCUGCCCUGGAGUUGGGAAGCAGAAAAAGCGCUGGAAGGAUCUCAAGAGGUCACUUAAUCCAACCGCCUGCACAAGGCAGGAUCAUGCUGGACCAAACCAUCCCACACAACUGUUUGUCCAACCUGGACUUAUAUUUGCAAUGAUGGCUAUUCCACAACCGCGCUAGGGAAUCUGGAAUCUCUUCUGAAAUAUGCUUGCAGACCUUCAGACCUGGGCCAGACCAUAUCUUAUUUGUAACACCCGUAGAGCCAAUUGGAGGUG